This is a long non-coding RNA of Clupea harengus (Atlantic herring), 1161 nucleotides long. NCBI's taxonomy places the organism in Eukaryota, Metazoa, Chordata, Actinopteri, Clupeiformes, Clupeidae. The record is from Ensembl.
ACACACACACACACACACACACGUGUCAGGACAAGAGUAAGGAGCAGUCGUGUUGUCCACUGGGGCCGUUCCUGUGCUCUGCAUUGAGGCCCUGAGAAUUUAAGUAAACACUUCUCUAAUGAAACCAUCGAGUUGUGUGUGUGUGUGUGUGUGUGUGUGUGUGCAGGAGGACCUACUAUGUGUAAUGCAUUUGUGUCCACGUUGGUGUGUGUGUGUGUGCGGGGGAACCUACUAUGUGUAAUGCAUUUGUGUCCACGUUUGGUGUGUGUGCGGUCUGGCUGUGCAUAUGAAUAUCUUCUGUUGGGACCCAAGUGGAGAAAAGAGAUCCAUUUGGGCAGGAAGUAAUUGUGAAGAGACAAACACUGAAUUAAAAGGACAUUACUUCCAGCUUGCCUCUCUGUCAAGCCACCAAGUGAAGGGGACAUAUAGAUACUCUGUCAAAUCAUAAUGCACAACUCUCAGAAUGUAUACAAUGUUUAGUAAAGCAGUAUACAAUAUCAUAUAAUCAAUCAAAUAUAUAAUGCACAAUAAAAUAUAGUCUAAUGCAGGGUGAAUAUAGUCUAAUGCAGGGAGAAUUGUGUCAUAUUUUGUUCCAAGCUGAAAGUCCCCCUGAAUGAAUAAGCAUUGAUGAAGUAAGACUGAAUGCUAAUGCCCGAAUGGGCCAUGGGUACGCUACUGUGUGUGUGCCUGUAGUAUGGAUACUGUGUGUAUAGUGUGUCUGUAGUAUGGAUACUGGGUGUAUAGUGUGUGUGUAUAGUGUGUCUGUAGUAUGGAUACUGUGUGUAUAGUGUGUGUAUAGUUGUGUGUGUGUAUAGUGUGUCUGUAUGGAUACUGGGUGUAUAGUGUGUCUGUAUGGAUACUGGGUGUAUAGUGUGUGUAUAGUGUGUGUGUAUGGAUACUGGGUGUAUAGUGUGUGUAUAGUGUGUGUAUAGUGUGUCUGUAUGGAUACUGGGUGUAUAGUGUGUCUGUAUGGAUACUGGGUGUAUAGUGUGUGUGUAUAGUGUGUCUGUAUGGAUACUGGGUGUAUAGUGUGUGUAUAGUGUGCCUGUAUGGAUACUGGGUGUAUAGUGUGUGUAUAGUGUGCCUGUAUGGAUACUGGGUGUAUAGUGUUGUGUCUGUAUGGAUACUGGGUGUAUAGUGUGUCUGUAGUAUGGAUACUGG